RNAcentral lists this transfer RNA (125 nucleotides) under Terrimonas ginsenosidimutans. RNAcentral describes it as "tRNA-OTHER". It matches the Rfam family "tRNA". From Rfam's summary of the family: Transfer RNA (tRNA) molecules are approximately 80 nucleotides in length. The record is from RNAcentral. Lineage: Bacteria; Pseudomonadati; Bacteroidota; Chitinophagia; Chitinophagales; Chitinophagaceae.
GAAGCAGUAGCUCAGCUGGUAGAGCAACGUAAAGGAUUGAGAUUACCGUUUUCUUUACAGGUCAAUUAACCCUUACACCCAGAUUAUUAAUCCGUGGGUCGUUGGUUCGAAUCCAACCUGCUUCG